RNAcentral lists this ribosomal RNA (515 nucleotides) under uncultured bacterium. RNAcentral describes it as "partial 16S ribosomal RNA". It matches the Rfam family "Bacterial small subunit ribosomal RNA", at positions 28 to 523 of the family's 1533-position model. The record is from RNAcentral.
GAUGAACGCUGGCGGCGUGCCUAAUACAUGCAAGUCGAGCGAAUGGAUUAAGAGCUUGCUCUUAUGAAGUUAGCGGCGGACGGGUGAGUAACACGUGGGUAACCUGCCCAUAAGACUGGGAUAACUCCGGGAAACCGGGGCUAAUACCGGAUAACAUUUUGAACCGCAUGGUUCGAAAUUGAAAGGCGGCUUCGGCUGUCACUUAUGGAUGGACCCGCGUCGCAUUAGCUAGUUGGUGUGGUAACGGCUCACCAAGGCAACGAUGCGUAGCCGACCUGAGAGGGUGAUCGGCCACGCUGGGACUGAGACACGGCCCAGAAUCCUACGGGAGGCAGCAGUAGGGAAUCUUCCGCAAUGGACGAAAGUCUGACGGAGCAACGCCGCGUGAGUGAUGAAGGCUUUCGGGUCGUAAAACUCUGUUGUUAGGGAAGAACAAGUGCUAGUUGAAUAAGCUGACACCUUGACGGUACCUAACCAGAAAGCCACGGCUAACUACGUGCCAGCCGCCGCAGUAA